AUUUUUAGAGUAUGAUGGUUCAAAUAUAGGGAAGGGAGUACGAAAUUAUUUGUGAAUGAGGGUUAAACUGGAUCUGAAACGACCUCUAAGGAGAAAAAAGAAGGUUCUACUUUCGAUAGGAAUUUGCUCUUAUGUCAGUUUUAAAUAUGAACGAUCUGUUUUGUUUCUUUUGUGGACAGUUAGGGCAUAAUGAUGUUUUUUGUCAUUCUAAGAUGGAGUUAGGAUUUGAAGUUGCUAAGAUGGGAUGGAAUUUGUCACUACAAGCUCAAUCUAGAAAAGCUCUCGCAAUAAAUAGUAUGUGGCUACGUGAUGAUGGGGGAGGAAUUUAAAGGUGGAGUUCUAUUGAAGGGCAUGACUUGGGGAGAUGCAAUUGAGAGGUUACAGAUAGAGGUUGUUCUAGGAAUUUUGUUGACCCAUUCUGGGGGUUAAUUUGGAGGAGAAUUUGAAUUGGGUUUUUGAUGUGGAGGUAGGGUAUUCAAAAAUGCAUGAACAGACAUAUAUGGAGCAUGAUGGCCAGGACUAUGCAAUUGAAGGGGCAGAUGUAAAAAAGAGGCCUAGAAUGGAGAAUGAUAGAUCUCUGGUGGGGGAGGAGAUAGGCUCUCUAGUUUUUAGAAACAAGAGAGGGUUGGAAAAAAACCUUUUGUUAUAGGUGACUGCCAAGGGGCAAGCCUACCGGUCGCAAUGAAAAUAAUAAGCUGGAAUGUCCAUGGAUUGAGGAGUCCACGGGCUAUUAGAAGAUUACGGCAUUUGCUGAAGAUGUAUAAUCCCCAAAUGGUCUUCUUUAUGGAGACUAAGAUUGAUAGGAUGCGAAUGGAGGGUGUAAGAAGGAAAUGCGAAUUUUUAGUGGGAUUGAUAUUGCAUUGAUCGGUUCAAGGGGUGGAUUAUGUCUGGCAUGGAAGGAAGAUAUUGCAGUUAGUCUAAAAAGUUGUUCUAACUCUCAUAUUGUUGUUGAAAUUCAAUGGAGUGAUAGUGAAAAAUUUUGGAGGUUUACUGGAGUUUAUGGCUCGCCAUAUGCGCAUAGUAGAGAAGUUUCGUGGAAUUUGCUGAAGAAUUUAAGUCAGUCAUAGGGUUUACCUUCAUGGAAUUUGCUAAGGAAUUUAAGUCAGUCAUAGGGUUUACCAUGGAUGGUAUGUGGCAAUUUUAAUGAAAUUUUGUAUUCUUUUGAGAAGGUAGGAGGGGUACCAAAGGACGAAAGGAGAAUAGCAGCUUUUACAGAUGCUUCAAUGGAUUGCCAGUUAUUGGAUGUGGGGUAUAUGGGAACGUGGUUUACUUGGGAAAGAGGAAAUCUUCCAAAGACUAACAUUUGUGAAAGAUUGGAUAGAAUAGUAGCAAAUAUGGAGUGGCUUAAUUUGUUUUCGUUUGCAUUGAUUCAACAUCUGCUGCAUUCUUUUUCAAAUCAUUGUUCCUUUCUUAUUCAAAUAGAAAUAAGAAUGAAUAACUUGUCUAGAAGGAAAGCCCGUUUUGAGUCACGGUGGGUAAAGGAGAAUUCUUUCGAGAAAUAGGUUAGAAGCUUAUGGAGGUCCACCAGAGGCGACAUUCUGCAAAAAUUGAACAAGUUACAACAGGGUUUGGUAAGAUGGGCAACCUCAAUUAGACACAGAAGAGCAAGUCGUAAGAAGGAGUUGAUAACAAAUUUAGAGAUUCUGAUGGGUAGAAAAAGAACUAAUGAGAACUUAGUAGAAUUAAUUGAUGCGAAAAUUCAUCUAAAUCUCGUGAUUGAUAAGGAAGAGAUGUACUAAGAGCAAAGGGCCCGAGCUAACUAGUAGAAAUUGGGAGACAAAAAAACAACUUUCUUUCAUAGUUAUGCCUCGCAAAGGAAAAGAAUGAAUACUAUUCGAAACGAAUAUGGGAGAGACAAGUGGUGUGGGGGAUAUGGAGAAUAUUACUCAAUUAUUUUCAAAACCUUUUCUCAUCAAAAGGGUGUGGAAACUUUCAUCACAUCCUUUCAGGAAUUGAGAGAUGCAUCUCAGAAGAGGUAAAUUCGAAGCUAAUUGCUAAAUUCACGAAGAAGGAAGUUGUGAUGGCACUAAAAGAAAUGGGUCCUACAAAGGCUUCCGGGGACGAUGGAUUUUCAUAUUUGUUUUUCCACCAGUUUUGGUAUAUUGUUGGAACAGACAUUGUUGACUUUUGUUUGAGAAUCUUGAAUGAAGGUAUGGUUCUGGAUUCUAUUAAUGUUACGAAUAUUGUGUUAAUCCCUAAAGUUUCCCAUUCGAAAAACCUUGGUAAUUUUAGACCAAUUAGUCUAUGUAAUGUUUUGUAUCAAUUGAUAGUGAAAAUGAUUGUUAACCAUUAAAAACACAUAUUGGAGGACUGCAUUGAUAGCGCUCAAAGCGCCUUUGUAACGGGUAGACUUAUUUCGGAUAAUGUUCUUCUUGCUUAUGAGAUCUUGCAUACAUUUCAGACAAAAGAGAUUAUGGAAGAAAGGGUUUAUGGCACUAAAGCUGGACAUGAGUAAGGCUUAUGAUAGAGUUAAAUGGUCUUUUCUUAAGGCAAUGAUGCUACGAAUGGGGUUUCAUAUUUCUGGGUAGAGAUUAUAAUGAAAUGCAUCUCGACUGUCUCUUAUUCUAUUAUUGUGAACAAAAAAGAAAGGACAAUUUUUAAACCAAUGAGGGGUCAUCGACAAGGUAAUCCUCUUAGUCUUUUUUUAUUUGAUGUGCAGUGAGGAUCUCUCGUCGCUUAUGAGACUGGCUUUGAGGGAAGGUUUGAUAAAAGGUGUAAAAGUUAGUAGAAGCAAUCCUCCGAUUUUACAUUUAUUAUUUGCUGAUGAUUGUAUUUUGUUUAGUGAAGUGGGAAGGGGUGCAAAAAUUUUAAAUUCAAUUUUGAGGGAAUACAAGGGUUGUUCUAGGUAAUGUGUGAAUUAUGAAAAAUCCACUAUCUUUUAUAAUACAAAUACUCCUGAAAGGACCCAAUGUGUUGUUUAUGACAUUCUUGGGGUUAAGCAUUCAAAUAAUAUGGAGCGAUAUCUUGGCUUGCCAAACAUGGUGGGGAAAAAUAAGAAAGCUUCUUUUCAAAUUUUAAAAGAUCGCAUGAGGCAAAGAAUUGAUAAUUGGAGUGUCAAAGAGAUUUCUUUCGUAAAGGGGAAAGGAAGUCUUUAUAAAGACAGUUUUGCAAGCCAUUCCGGCUUAUUCUAUGGCAUGUUUCUUCCUUCCAAAAUCUUUUUGUGGUGAUUUAGAGAGUAUAAUGGCUCGAUUUUGGUGGCAAAAAGGUAAUGAAAGAAGAAUGAUUCAUUGGUGUGGUUGGGAUCGACUUCGUAAAUUAAAGGAGAAUAGGGGAUUGGGAUUUCGUAGUUUGACCAAGUUUAAUGUUGUAUUAUUAGCUAAAUAGGGGUGACGUAUUAUUAAUCAUCCAAAUUCAUUAUUAUUGCGAGUUCUAAAAGCUAAGUAUUUUCCAAAUAUUUACUUUUUAAAUGUUGAGUUACGGAAUCUACCUUCAUUUACCUGAAAGAGUGUGUGGGCUGCUUAGGGCUUGCUGAAGAGCGGUUUAUGUUGGAGGGUAGGAAUUGAGGAGAAAAAAUCAAUUAUGGCUGAUGCUUGGCUUCUAGGGACUGUAAACAAUAAAGUGUCAACAAACAUUUAUAGCGGUGAGGUCAGUUUGGUUUCGAACUUAAUUAAUACACAGCUAUGAGAAUGGAAAAAUAAGUUUAUUAAUUCUUAGAAUUUUGAAAAUCCCCUUAGCUGUAGAAGCUCAUGAUGAUUUGAUGGUUUGAUAAAGGGAACCUUCAGGGGAAUUUUCUAUGCGGAGUGUUUAUAAAUUAUUACAUGAAAGUAAUAUUGAACCUAAUUAUUUAAAGACCAAGAUGAAAAUUUUUUACAAAAAAACUAUGGAUCAGUAAUAUUCCAGCCAAAAUUAAGAUUUACAUUUGGAAAAUUUCCUGGAAUUUCAUUCCUAAUCUAGCUAUUUUAUCCACAAAAAGAAUGGCGAUGGAGACUGCGUACCUAAGAUGUGUAGGGGCUACUGAAAAUGUUGAUCACCUUUUGCGAGGCUGUCCUAUUACACGAGAAGUCUAGGUAAGUUUAAAUCUUGAUUGGGUAUUAACAGGAAUAAAUAUGAAUUGCUAGGAAUGGCUUAGCUGGGUGUUUAAAAGCUAUACUGGGUCGCAAUGUUGUUUAUUCUGCUGCUCCUUGUGGGAGAUCUGGACUAACAGAAAUAAGUGGUUAUUUGAGGGGAAGAGAAAUAGGGGUUGUGAUAUUACUGCAUGGGUCUUAAGGUAUGCUAAGAAAAUAGACGAGUGUGAGACUAGUAAAUUGACCAAGGAAACCGUGACUAUGGAAUGGUGCCCUCGAAUAGGUCCGAUAUUAAAUUGAAUUUUGACACGGCAUUUGACUAGGCACAGGCUAAAUCGGCUUCAGGGUUAGUUGCAAGAAAUGCUUCUAGAGAGAUUCUCGCCUCUAAAACUGUGGUACACAGGGCUAUUGCUUCUCCUUUCGCAGUAGAGGCACAUGCGUGUCUCCAAAUAGUUUUAUUGGGGAAAUAAAAGGGAUUUACAUUAGAUCGAAGGGGAUUCAGCUUCAGUUAUAAAGAGAAGUAAGUCAGAUCUGGUAGAUAGAUCGAUGAUAAGGGCUUUAAUAAGGAACUUACAAUGUUAAAAACUAUUCUUCCAUCAGAUAUUAUUUAAACACAUUCCUAGAUCAGCAAAUAUAAUGGCUCAUGAACUAGCCAGAGAAGCGAUGAGAAAUGGGUCACGGACUUACCUUCUCGGAGGACUGCUUGAGCAAAAUGCAACAGAAGAUGGAUCGUGCAGAAGGAGAGAACCAGAUUGAAGAUUGACUGAUGAAGGCGUUUGGGUUUUGGGAAGAGAUAAAUGAAGUAAAUGAUGGUCUACUGGUUUUUGGAAACUACUUCUUGGGGACUGGAACCGUCAAUAAUAAUAAUGAUGACAUUUAUUGGGUGCCAGCUGUGAAUCAGACUGUGGUGUUUUCUUUAUUUUGUUUUGUUUUACUUCUGUUUUUGUUUUUUUUGGUAGGCUUAGUUCAAAGCCCGA
RNAcentral lists this long non-coding RNA (4981 nucleotides) under Gossypium barbadense (sea-island cotton). RNAcentral describes it as "long non-coding RNA (GBAR_LNC000766)". The record is from RNAcentral. Lineage: Eukaryota; Viridiplantae; Streptophyta; Magnoliopsida; Malvales; Malvaceae.